UGGAGGGCAAGUCUGGUGCCAGCAGCCGCGGUAAUUCCAGCUCCAAUAGCGUAUAUUAAAGUUGUUGCAGUUAAAAAGCUCGUAGUUGAAUUUCGGGGUUCAUACGUUGGUCGGGCUUUUUUGGUCUGUACUUAUGUAAUGGAUUCCUACCUUCUGAAUAACCSGCAUGUCAUUAAUUUGGUGCGCCGGGGAAGCAGGACUGUUACCUUGAAAAAAUUAGAGUGCUUAAAGCAGGCUAUCGCCUGAAUACAUUAGCAUGGAAUAAUGAAAUAGGACGGCAUGGUUCUAUUUUGUUGGUUUCUAGGAUCACCGUAAUGAUUAAUAGGGAUAGUUGGGGGCAUUAGUAUUCAAUUGUCAGAGGUGAAAUUCUUGGAUUUAUUGAAGACUAACUUCUGCGAAAGCMUUUGCCAAGGAUGUUUUCAUUAAUCAAGAACGAAAGUUAGGGGAUCGAAGACGAUCAGAUACCGUCGUAGUCUUAACCAUAAACUAUGCCGACUAGGGAUCGGACGAUGUUAAUUUUUUAAUGACUCGUUCGGCGCCUUACGGGAAAC
RNAcentral lists this ribosomal RNA (551 nucleotides) under uncultured Glomus. RNAcentral describes it as "SSU rRNA". It matches the Rfam family "Eukaryotic small subunit ribosomal RNA", at positions 551 to 1109 of the family's 1831-position model. Lineage: Eukaryota; Fungi; Glomeromycota; Glomeromycetes; Glomerales; Glomeraceae. The record is from RNAcentral.